GAAUUCGCCCUUAGAGUUUGAUCCUGGCUCAGGACGAACGCUGGCGGCGCGCCUAACACAUGCAAGUCGAACGGAGUCAAGAGGAGCUUGCUUUUCUUGACUUAGUGGCGAACGGGUGAGUAACGCGUGAGUAACCUGCCCUGGAGUGGGGGACAACAGUUGGAAACGACUGCUAAUACCGCAUAAGCCCACGGAUCCGCAUGGAUCUGCGGGAAAAGGAUUUAUUCGCUUCAGGAUGGACUCGCGUCCAAUUAGCUAGUUGGUGAGGUAACGGCCCACCAAGGCGACGAUUGGUAGCCGGACUGAGAGGUUGAACGGCCACAUUGGGACUGAGACACGGCCCAGACUCCUACGGGAGGCAGCAGUGGGGGAUAUUGCACAAUGGGGGAAACCCUGAUGCAGCGACGCCGCGUGGAGGAAGAAGGUUUUCGGAUUGUAAACUCCUGUCGUUAGGGACGAUAAUGACGGUACCUAACAAGAAAGCACCGGCUAACUACGUGCCAGCAGCCGCGGUAAAACGUAGGGUGCAAGCGUUGUCCGGAAUUACUGGGUGUAAAGGGAGCGCAGGCGGACCGGCAAGUUGGAAGUGAAAACUAUGGGCUCAACCCAUAAAUUGCUUUCAAAACUGCUGGCCUUGAGUAGUGCAGAGGUAGGUGGAAUUCCCGGUGUAGCGGUGGAAUGCGUAGAUAUCGGGAGGAACACCAGUGGCGAAGGCGACCUACUGGGCACCAACUGACGCUGAGGCUCGAAAGCAUGGGUAGCAAACAGGAUUAGAUACCCUGGUAGUCCAUGCCGUAAACGGUGAUUACUAGGUGUUGGAGGAUUGACCCCUUCAGUGCCGCAGUUAACACAAUAAGUAAUCCACCUGGGGAGUACGACCGCAAGGUUGAAACUCAAAGGAAUUGACGGGGGCCCGCACAAGCAGUGGAGUAUGUGGUUUAAUUCGAAGCAACGCGAAGAACCUUACCAGGUCUUGACAUCCGAUGCAUAGUGCAGAGAUGCAUGAAGUCCUUCGGGACAUCGAGACAGGUGGUGCAUGGUUGUCGUCAGCUCGUGUCGUGAGAUGUUGGGUUAAGUCCCGCAACGAGCGCAACCCCUAUCCUCAGUAGCCAGCAUUUAAGGUGGGCACUCUGGGGAGACUGCCAGGGAUAACCUGGAGGAAGGCGGGGAUGACGUCAAAUCAUCAUGCCCCUUAUGAUUUGGGCUACACACGUGCUACAAUGGCGUAAACAAAGGGAAGCGAGAUCGUGAGAUGGAACAAAUCCCAAAAAUAACGUCCCAGUUCGGACUGUAGUCUGCAACCCGACUACACGAAGCUGGAAUCGCUAGUAAUCGCGAAUCAGAAUGUCGCGGUGAAUACGUUCCCGGGUCUUGCACUCACCGCCCGUCA
RNAcentral lists this ribosomal RNA (1390 nucleotides) under uncultured bacterium. Its description in RNAcentral is "bacterial SSU rRNA". It matches the Rfam family "Bacterial small subunit ribosomal RNA". The record is from RNAcentral.